Molecule: long non-coding RNA, 2547 nt
Organism: Varroa destructor (honeybee mite)
Lineage: Eukaryota; Metazoa; Arthropoda; Arachnida; Mesostigmata; Varroidae
Source: RefSeq, a predicted model, not a curated record
AAAUAUAGUGACAAAUUCACCGUUUAUCGAUUGUGUUGGUUUCAAGGUUCUUUCGAUUUUUUCAAUAUGGUUACAGGUAAAAUGUCGACGUCGAGCUUUAUCUACUACAAGCACACAUUUUUAAAAGAGCUGGGUUAUCUCUUUGUCUCUUUGAUCUCUUUGUCUGGCAGAACUUUUAAUGUGCAUAUAUAUCCCUUAAAAUAGCUUCAUUCUAACGUAACAGGGUGGCUAGUUGUGGAUGCUAAGUGGUUCAUGUUGAAAUUCAGAAAGCUUACUCUGGCUUAGCACAUAAAGAUCGGUCGCAUAAUAUAGAAUUCACCUCCAUCUUUAUACGUGAACCUUCAGAUUGUUCGAUUAGGCAUAUUCGAUGGCGUGAUUUUGUGUGUAUUAAAAAAAAAAACAGUGUAUCUCUCUUUGCCGAGUCGUACAAUUAUAACCGAGCAAUUCUAUGUGACAGUUUCGGUUAGCACCAUCUAAAAAAAAGAAAACGAAGCCGGUAGCUCUGCUGUUAACCGGUUAUUUUAGAUUAACAAAAUAAGACAUUCAUGUAAGAGAACGGACGGUCUAACGUUGCGUAACAAUGUAUCGACUUAAUUAGGAUCUUCCGUUCCACUAGCUGUUCGUUCUCACGUCGUCACUUUCUGUACCUCGGAUAGGGGGCGACCAACGCUCACGUUCUGCGCAGUAGCUGUGCGGUUCCAGAAUGAUCUGCAGCGGAACAAAGAAACUCCACCGGAUUGAUAUGCGUCUAGUUCAGGACUCUCAUUAAUUUUGCAUGGAGAAACUUGGAAGCCAAAAUUAAUUUCAGUUUUUUUUACGUAUAACAACGUGUAAUAUGCCCCAAUCGACUCGACAAUAGUUGUUUACUCCGGAGAAUUUAGCCGCAUCUUCACCCCCAAGGCGAGCACACGUAAUUUCAACAAGCUAUGGCUUCAUUUUUCUGAUAACGUCUUCGGCAACCGAAAUAGAAAGCGUUCACAUUUGCUGAGGGGCCGAUAGAUCGGCGAAAUGCAAAUACAGAAACCGCAUAUGAUAAAGGGAAACAGAAAUGGAUACAAGGCUCUUGUUAUUAUACUGUAAACAAGUCAAUCAAGUGCGCUUGCUCCUUUAUGCGACCGGUCACAGCGAGCGCAGACAGAAAUGUCAAUAACAUAAUCGUCGAACAGAAGAGUUAAUCACAAAAAAGUCAGUAUGCCGAUCCAUUUCGAGAGGUCAUUUAGUGAGAAUGGUCACAUUAAGGAUUCUGCCGAAGGAGCUAAAUUUUAGAGCAAAUGCAGAUAGACGCACCACUAACUGUCUCAGGAACCUAAAACUUUUUUGCUCCUUUUAUCUAACUGCGUUUGGCCAUAUAAACCCGUUGUGGUUCUCAUUGUGUGGCGGUUCUUCUGUAUGUACCGAUGAGAUACAACAAUAGCAUCGCCGGCAAUUUGCAACCUAAAAUGAUCAAGAAUUAGCCAAUAGAAGUGUAUAGAUGCAAACGAGGGCGUGUUUUGAAAGCAUCUAUAUUAAUCUUCAGGUGUGUGCAAUAGCUGACGAUGAUGAUGAUAAUAAUGGUGAAGUACCUAACGAUGUCUUGAAAUCUACCAACAUCCACCGUCGAUUCAAGAUAUUGACCAUAGGAACAACACAGGUAGUGUACUGUAUGUACUAUUAGCCUUCACGUUCUAGCAAAUAUAGUUAGUAUCAGUGGCGAAUAUCGAAGUCAACCUAAUGUGUCCAUCUGUGCAUUCUAUUCCUUUGUGCUGUUGAUAUCGUCGAAUGGCAACGUUACCGAAGGACGCCGAUUUCACGUUUGCCACCGAGUUUAGUAUAAUACAGGCCUGGUGUACCACCAGGGCCAUAGCAAACCACAGCUAAAAUAGAUUGGCUAUAGCAUACAAAUCAAUUAGCCGUGUUACAUCAAAACGGCUGCUGGUGCUUUGGCGACCGCAGAGCGAACGAGGAACGAGUGCGUCGUUGAUGUUUUCUAUAUGGCACGAAGAAUAGGCUUCUGGCUGCCACCGCUAUUCAGACAUUGAGGAGCAGACGCUUAUAGGUGUGUGUAUAUAUACACAAUGCUCUCAUAGGUAAGUUUGAACGUGCAUACUUACCAGUUGUAUUACAUACCUAUAUCGCGCGUGCAGUCAACAAAUUAAUCCAGGUGUCACAAGGGCGGAUAAAAGAGAACGGGGAGAUUACCGGACGGAAUACUUCGAAAAGGGCAAGCUGUUUUAUGGCCAUUACACUAUAUGUACUUGUGAGGAGACCAAAGCAUUUCAGUGAGGUAAUUCUCAUGUUGAAAGCAAAUCAUCAGGCGAAAUAUCAUAUGGCCGCUGAGAGAAGAAUGAGGGCUGAUCAUAAACUUACUAGUGUUUCGCAUCUUUUCUUCAAAUGAACCAGCACAGGAAGGAACAGCUGUCUAACUAUCUAUAUAUAACUAACGAAAUUUGACUGCAUAGGUCAUUUCGUGCUUGACGAAUUUCGAAACGAUAGCCUCGAAAGCAGGAAACAACAACCUUCACCCACAGUCGACUGGCAUAUACACGGCGUAUACGGGGCAGAUUUGUA